This 380-nucleotide ribosomal RNA is filed under the name uncultured eukaryote. Its description in RNAcentral is "partial 18S ribosomal RNA". It matches the Rfam family "Eukaryotic small subunit ribosomal RNA", at positions 592 to 976 of the family's 1831-position model. The record is from RNAcentral.
CAAUAGCGUAUAUUAAAGUUGUUGCGGUUAAAAAGUUCGUAGUUGGAUUUCUGCCAAGGACGACCGGUCCGCCCUCUGGGUGAGUAUCUGGCUUGGCCUGGGCAUCUUCUUGGAGAACGUUGCUGCACUUCGCUGUGUGGCGCGGUAUCCAGGACCUUUACUUUGAGGAAAUUAGAGUGUUUCAAGCAGGCUUUCGCCUUGAAUACAUUAGCAUGGAAUAAUAAGAUAGGACCUCGGUUCUAUUUUGUUGGUUUCUAGAGCUGGGGUAAUGAUUAAUAGGGAUAGUUGGGGGCAUUCGUAUUUAACUGUCAGAGGUGAAAUUCUUAGAUUGACGAAAGACAAACUGCUGCGAAAGCGUCUGCCAAGGAUGUUUUCAUUGA